This 439-nucleotide ribosomal RNA is filed under the name uncultured bacterium. RNAcentral describes it as "partial 16S ribosomal RNA". It matches the Rfam family "Bacterial small subunit ribosomal RNA", at positions 338 to 795 of the family's 1533-position model. The record is from RNAcentral.
CCUACGGGAGACAGCAGUGGGGAAUAUUGCACAAUGGGGGAAACCCUGAUGCAGCGACGCCGCGUGAGUGAGGAAGUAUUUCGGUAUGUAAAGCUCUAUCAGCAGGGAAGAAAAUGACGGUACCUGACUAAGAAGCCCCGGCUAACUACGUGCCAGCAGCCGCGGUAAUACGUAGGGGGCCAGCGUUAUCCGGAUUUACUGGGUGUAAAGGGAGCGUAGACGGCUAAUCAAGUCAGAAGUGAAAACCCAGGGAUCACCUUGGGACUGCUUUUGAAACUGAGUAGCUAGCGUGCAGGAGAGGUAAGCGGAAUUCCUAGUGUAGCGGUGAAAUGCGUAGAGAUUAGGAGGAACACCAGUGGCGAAGGCGGCUUACUGGACUGUAACUGACGUUGAGGCUCGAAAGCGUGGGGAGCAAACAGGAUUAGAUACCCUAGUAGUC